RNAcentral lists this long non-coding RNA (911 nucleotides) under Triticum aestivum (bread wheat). Its description in RNAcentral is "long non-coding RNA (TAES_LNC000665)". The record is from RNAcentral. Lineage: Eukaryota; Viridiplantae; Streptophyta; Magnoliopsida; Poales; Poaceae.
UACCUCAGCUUCCUCGGCGUGUUCCUUGUGUUCGUUGGCCAUAGGACCCUAUCUCAUCUUUCCAACACGACGGCAAAACAGAAGACUGCUUGAUGGGAAGAUGCGAAGAAUGUGUGAUCAUCAAUUUUCGGGCGGUCGCAGUUGCUUGGGUUCUGCAAAUGCUUUUGCUUGAGAUCCUGACCGAGUUCUUCUUGCGCAACUUGAGUUUUGAGGGACAACUGGGUGUCAUUUUGUAGUGGGUGCCGAGAAUCCUGGUACUAGAGAAGUGGUAGGACCUCACCUUCAUGUUUUAUGCACCGAUGUUUACUGAAGUGGUAGGACCUCACCUUCCAUGUAUGACGCACUGAUGUUUACUAAAUAGGCUGGAAUUUUUUAAACAUAGGAUUAAUAAGAUCAUAUUCUUACUCGAAAGGUUAACGUGUUAUGCCUUCUGAUUUACAAACUCACAAAACCAAAUUCAUUCAAUUUGAACUCCCCAACGAAUUGUAACAAUUACAUUCCAUCUAAUUAACCCAAGCAAACAUGGGAGCAGAACCAAUCCUAGCAUUUCAUUCUACUUCGUUCACAAACCAAACACACCCAAAGAUAAUUAAAGUGCAUUGGCUGCGUUUUAGUACAAACCUAAGGGUGGUUUAAAUGUAUUUUCAGGACAAACGUGGCCGACAUAUACAUGUGAGCUAACAAUUAUAUCAUCAAUUUUCGGGCGGUCACAGUUGCUAGGGUUUUGCAAAUGCUUUUUUGCUUGAGACCCUAACCGAGUUUUUCUUGCGCAACUUGAGUUUUGAGGGACAUAAGGGUAUCAUUUUGUAAUGAGUGCCAAGAAUCCUGGUACUAGACAAGUGGACGGACCUCUCCUUCAUGUAUGAUGCAUUGCUGUUUACUAAAUAGGCUGGAUUUUUUAAACAUAGAAU